This 269-nucleotide unclassified non-coding RNA is filed under the name Hevea brasiliensis (rubber tree). Lineage: Eukaryota; Viridiplantae; Streptophyta; Magnoliopsida; Malpighiales; Euphorbiaceae. The record is from RNAcentral.
AUGAAAUCAGAAACUAAUUCUGUAAAGUCCCUCUCACUGCCUUUGUAUUUUCCAAUUCAGUUUAUCCAUGUGUGUUGAGCAUGCUAAAAUGUCCACAAAGCAGGUUCAGAAUUUUGUUUCUACUCUGGCUGUGGGUCUUCUUUUUUAUCUGUACUUUAGUUGCUUCCUGUGUUACAUAGACUUGGCCCAACAUGGGCCUCUCUCUAGGUCAUAGGUUCUUCAAAUCCCCAGACAUAGGACAUCAGAACUUGACUGAACAAUCUAACCAU